GGCCCCGUAGCUUAGUCUGGUGGAGCGCACGACUGAUAAUCGUGAGGUCCCGUGUUCAAAUCACGGCGGGGCCA
Molecule: transfer RNA, 74 nt
Filed under: Candidatus Woesearchaeota archaeon
Lineage: Archaea; Nanobdellati; Candidatus Woesearchaeota
Description: tRNA-Ile
Rfam family: tRNA
About the family: Transfer RNA (tRNA) molecules are approximately 80 nucleotides in length. Their secondary structure includes four short double-helical elements and three loops (D, anti-codon, and T loops). Further hydrogen bonds mediate the characteristic L-shaped molecular structure. tRNAs have two regions of fundamental functional importance: the anti-codon, which is responsible for specific mRNA codon recognition, and the 3' end, to which the tRNAs corresponding amino acid is attached (by aminoacyl-tRNA synthetases). tRNAs cope with the degeneracy of the genetic code in two manners: having more than one tRNA (with a specific anti-codon) for a particular amino acid; and 'wobble' base-pairing, i.e. permitting non-standard base-pairing at the 3rd anti-codon position.
Source: RNAcentral